CUAUGGGGUGCAGCAGUCGCGAAACCUUUGCAAUAAGCGAAAGCUUGACAGGGCUAUCCCGAGUGCCAUCCGCUGAGGAAGGCUUUUACCCAGUCUAGAAAGCUGGGGGAAUAAGGAGAGGGCAAGUCUGGUGUCAGCCGCCGCGGUAAUACCAGCUCUUCGAGUGGUGUGGAUGUUUAUUGGGCCUAAAGCAUCCGUAGCUGGCUAGGUCAAUCCCUUGUUAAAUCCACCGAAUUAAUCGUUGGAUCGCGGGGGAUACUGCUUGGCUAGGGGACGAGAGAGGCAGACGGUAUUUUCGGGGUAGGGGUGAAAUCCUAUAAUCCCGGGAAGACCACCAGUGGCGAAGGCUGUCUGCUAGAACGCGCCCGACGGUGAGGGAUGAAAGCUGGGGGAGCGAACCGGAUUAGAUACCCGGGUAGUCCCAGCUGUAAACGAUGCAGACUAGGUGUUUGGACGGCCACGUGCCGUUCUAGUGCCGCAGGGAAGCUGUUAAGUCUGCCGCCUGGGGAGUACGAUCGCAAGAUUGAAACUUAAAGGAAUUGGCGGGGGAGCACCACAAGGGGUGAAGCUUGCGGUUUAAUUGGAGUCAACGCCGGAAAUCUCACCGGGAGCGACAGCAGUAUGAAAGCCAGAUUGAAGGUCUUGCUAGACGAGCUGAGAGGAGGUGCA
Molecule: ribosomal RNA, 669 nt
Filed under: uncultured archaeon
Lineage: Archaea
Description: bacterial SSU rRNA
Rfam family: Archaeal small subunit ribosomal RNA
Source: RNAcentral